AUUGAACGCUGGCGGCAUGCCUUACACAUGCAAGUCGAACGGCAGCACGGGAGCAAUCCUGGUGGCGAGUGGCGAACGGGUGAGUAAUAUAUCGGAACGUGCCCGGUCGUGGGGGAUAACGUAGCGAAAGCUACGCUAAUACCGCAUACGAUCUACGGAUGAAAGCGGGGGAUCGCAAGACCUCGCGCGAUUGGAGCGGCCGAUAUCAGAUUAGGUAGUUGGUGAGGUAAAGGCUCACCAAGCCGACGAUCUGUAGCUGGUCUGAGAGGACGACCAGCCACACU
Molecule: ribosomal RNA, 284 nt
Filed under: uncultured bacterium
Lineage: Bacteria
Description: partial 16S ribosomal RNA
Rfam family: Bacterial small subunit ribosomal RNA
Source: RNAcentral